GACGAACGCUGGCGGCGUGCUUAACACAUGCAAGUCGAACGGAAAGGCCCUGCUUGCUGGCUCCUCGAGUGGUGAACGGGUGGGUAAUGCGUGGGGGUUCUGCCCUGCACAUCGGGAUAUGCCUGGAAAACUGGGGCUAUUUUCGGACAGGAGCCAUAUUGCGUGUGGUUGUUGGAAAGUUUUUUCGGUUUAGGAUGGGCGCGCGGCCUAUCCGCUUGUUGGUGGGGUAAGGGCCUACAAAGGCGGCGACGGGUAGCCGGACUGAGAGGGUGGACAGGCACAGUGGGACUGGGACACGGCCCAGACUCCGACGGGAGGCAGCAGUGGGGAAUAUUGAACAAUGGGCGCAAGCCUGAUGCAGCGACGCCGCGUGGGGGAUGACGGCCUUCGGGUUGUAAUCGCCAUGCGCUAGGGACGAAGAUUUUUGUGACGGUACCUAGAUAAGAAGCACCGGCUAACUACGUG
RNAcentral lists this ribosomal RNA (465 nucleotides) under uncultured bacterium. Its description in RNAcentral is "partial 16S ribosomal RNA". It matches the Rfam family "Bacterial small subunit ribosomal RNA", at positions 28 to 507 of the family's 1533-position model. The record is from RNAcentral.